Molecule: ribosomal RNA, 497 nt
Filed under: uncultured bacterium
Lineage: Bacteria
Description: partial 16S ribosomal RNA
Rfam family: Bacterial small subunit ribosomal RNA
Source: RNAcentral
GAUGAACGCUGGCGGCGUGCCUAAUACAUGCAAGUCGAGCGAACAGACGAGAAGCUUGCUUUUCUGAUGUUAGCGGCGGACGGGUGAGUAACACGUGGAUAACCUACCUAUAAGACUGGGAUAACUUCGGGAAACCGGAGCUAAUACCGGAUAAUAUUUUGAACCGCAUGGUUCAAAAGUGAAAGACGGUCUUGCUGUCACUUAUAGAUGGAUCCGCGCUGCAUUAGCUAGUUGGUAAGGUAACGGCUUACCAAGGCAACGAUGCAUAGCCGACCUGAGAGGGUGAUCGGCCACACUGGAACUGAGACACGGUCCAGACUCCUACGGGAGGCAGCAGUAGGGAAUCUUCCGCAAUGGGCGAAAGCCUGACGGAGCAACGCCGCGUGAGUGAUGAAGGUCUUCGGAUCGUAAAACUCUGUUAUUAGGGAAGAACAUAUGUGUAAGUAACUGUGCACAUCUUGACGGUACCUAAUCAGAAAGCCACGGCUAACUACGUG